GGCCUUUUGAUUAUAAUUUAAGGUCGGGCCUGCCCAAUGAAAAAUUUAAUGGCCGCGGUAUAUUAACUGUGCAAAGGUAGCAUAAUCAUUAGUUUUUUAAUUAAAAGCUGGAAUGAAGGGUUUAAUGAAAAAAGUUCUGUCUCUAUUUGAAUUUAUUAGAAUUUUAUUUUUAAGUUAAAAAGCUUAAAUAAUUGUUGAAGACGAGAAGACCCUAUAGAGUUUUAUAUUUUAAAAAAUUAUUGUAUUUGGUGAAUUUUAACUUAAUUUUUUGAAGGUAUUUAGUUGGGGUGAUUGAAAAAUUGAUAAAACUUUUUUUUUACUUAAACAUUAAUGUAUGAAUGGAUGAUCCUUUUUUUAGAUUAAAAGAAAAAAUUACCUUAGGGAUAACAGCGUAAUUUUUUAUAGAGUUCUUAUCAAAAAAAAAGAUUGCGACCUCGAUGUUGGAUUAAAAUAAGUUUUUGGCGCAAAAGCUAAAAGACUAGGUCUGUUCGACCUUUAAAUUUUUACAUGAUCUGAGUUUAGACCGGUUUGAG
This 533-nucleotide ribosomal RNA is filed under the name Acalles portosantoensis. Its description in RNAcentral is "partial 16S ribosomal RNA". It matches the Rfam family "Bacterial large subunit ribosomal RNA", at positions 1860 to 2625 of the family's 2925-position model. The record is from RNAcentral. Lineage: Eukaryota; Metazoa; Arthropoda; Insecta; Coleoptera; Curculionidae.